Molecule: long non-coding RNA, 1470 nt
Filed under: Homo sapiens (human)
Lineage: Eukaryota; Metazoa; Chordata; Mammalia; Primates; Hominidae
Description: non-protein coding lnc-ZFP36L1-2:10
Source: RNAcentral
ACCCAUUUAAAGCUCGUCAAAGGACUUGUUCAAUAUCCUGGGUCCCUUUCUGUUCAUUUUUUCUCUCCCCCCGUGCUGUCCUCCUUCAACUUUCCCCGACCACCCCUCCUCUUUUUAAGCUCUUGGCACCAAGUAACUAUGAAGACUCUGAGAACUGGACCAUCCCAAGGCUGUAGCUUUCUUCAAGCCUGGCAGGCUCUGUCGUGGUGAAGAGUCUGAAGGCUUUUUCUUUUCCAGUAACACAGGAGGUGAUUGAAUGGAAGGAGUGGCCAGUCACUCUUUGGCGUCCAGGAUCCAAGAAGAAACAGAUGAGGAGGAAGGAGGAUAAACAACUUCUGGACAAAGCGAGGACAUUGUGACUUUGAGGCCUCUUACCUCUGCAAACUAGCCAGGAGAAAAGCUGUGACUGAAGAAACUGCCUCCUCCAAAGUUUCUGGGCCCUGCCCUUCACAGGGCAAUGUUCCCAGCUAUGGUAAGAAGCAAAGAGAAGACAAAGACCAAAGCCUGAGGCAGAAGGGGAAUCACAUACAAAGACCACCAUCUCGCUCUGCCUCUCCUACCAGCUUGUUCUCAUCCUCUGGCUGUUUCUAAGCUCAGAGAUCUUUCAGGCCUGCCCAGGAUGGCUGGAACAAACUCCUCAUACUAUUUAUUCAGUCAGCAAAUGUUUACGAAGUCCGAGUGAGGUGGCUCAUGCUUGCAAUCCCGGAAAUUUGAGAGGCUAAAGUGGGAGGAUCGCUUGAGGCCAGGAGUUCAAGACCAGCCUGGACAACAUAGCAAGAGCCCAUCUCUACACAAAAUUAAAAAAUUAGCCAGGUGUGAUGGCCAUGGUUAUAGUCCCAGCUACUCUGGAGGCUGAGGUGGGAGGAUCACUUGAAGCCGGGAGUUUGAGGCUGCAGUGAGCUAUGAUUGCACCACUGCACUCUAGCCUGAGCAAUGGAGCAAGACCCUGUCUGAAAAAAAAAGUUUGUUAAGAGUGACGGGCACUCUUUCUAGGCACUGGGGAAGUAGCAAGAAACAAAGCUGAGGACAGCAAUCAACAAAUAAAAACAAAAUAGAAUGUCAAGAAUUAUAAGUGCUCUGAAGAAAAUCAAAGCAGAGACAGGGGCUAGAGAGCAACUAUUCCACAAGGUGGUCAACGAAGGGCUCUCCCAAGAGGCCUGGAAUCUACUUCCCCACCUUCCCUCAUGCAGGGCUUGCUUGGGGCCGCCGUCCUCCUGCUUUGCCAGAGGACUCCCCUCCCAGCCUGCUCUUGUAUGUGUUUAUCUUGAUUUGAAGAUCAGGGAGGCGCUGGGCAUGUCUGCUUCAGCAGGAGACCUGUUACAUUAUUAACUCAUUCAAGACUCACUAGGACUGGGAGACAUCAAGCACAUAUACAAACCUCCGAACACAAACUCUGUUCUUUUCCAAUGCCUGGUCCAGAACAUGAAUGGCCAUUUAAAUAUGGAUUUUUUUUUUUUUUUUUUUUUUUGA